GGAGGAGGCAGGAGCCCUGGGGGUGAGAAGGGGAGCAGGCGGGGACGGAGAGGGGUCGAGCGGGCGAGGAAGAGCGUGACGAGCCCCCCGGUGCUCACACCCCCACGGCGGAGCUGCUUCUUCCCAGCCUUGUUCCAGCAAAAAUUGCUGCUGUGACUCUUGCUGCACAUUAACUGGGAGGAAAGUAAAAAUCCUGUGACCACCACAGAGACUUUGCCCCUCUUUUCCCUUGCAUUGCAGAGUGAACCUUGAGAAAAGGACACAGGAGACAAGAAACAAGGACAUGGCUGAACCGAGUAAAACCUUAAUAACAACGGCUGCUGUGCUUCUGUCUGAAAAUGUCAUAGAUUGGGCAUUCAGCAGAUAUCGAAGGAGAAAGAAUGAGAAGACCAAAAAAGACAUGGAGUGUAAGAUGGAUGUAGCCUUCCAGGAGCUCAAGAAAAAAAUGGAAGCCUUGCAUGAAUCGUUCACAGAAUUGCAGGACACCAAACAGUCUGAGCUUGAAGGCCUCAGAACACACCUAGAGAAGAACAAAGGAAACAAAGUGGAGGAAAUUGUAUGGUCCGUGAAAUCCAGGCUGAAGAAAUACCUCCGGCAGUUCUCACAUGGAAUUCGAACUCUGGAAGAAAAUAUAGAGGAUUGGUCAGAGACCACAGAGUCUGAGCUUCAGCGUCUCAGACCAGAGCUGCAGAAGACUCAAGAAGAGGUCGAAAUUGUAUGGUCCCUGAAAUCCAGGUUGAAGAAAUACCUCCGGCAGCUCUCACAUGGAAUUCAGAGUCUGAAAGAAAAUGUAGAAGAUUUGUCAGAGACCAUAGAGUAUGAGCUUCAGUGUCUCAGACCAGAGUUGGAGAAGAACAAAGGAAAGAAGGAGGAUGAAAGUUCAAAUUUCUGCAUGGAGACAAAAGUUCCGCAGCUCUCCUAUAGAAUUCAAACUCUGGAUCCAGAGUUACAGGAGAGGUGGGAGUUCCCAAAUCAUGAGCUUCAGUUUGUCACAGCAGGCCUGGAGAACAGCCAAGAACUUUUCCAACCUUUCCAGAUUAAGGACCUGGGGGAAGCACCAGGGGCCUCCACAGGGGACCCACCCCACCAAGACCAGCCCUGCACAUCUCCUUUUCUCCCAACGUCAGCGGAGACGGAGCGGUGGAGCACAGUGACGACCCUCGAGGAGACUUUCUUUAAGUUUGUUAUCCCUCCCUUCAGAGAUCUCUCUUCUACAUCCAUCCACACUGUCCUGGAGUCCACAGCAGAGAAGCAAUCUCUACAAGUAUGACAUAGGAUCGGUUUUCCCAUAGAGGGAAUCGCAGGAAUAGAGGAAUUGCAGUUUCUGAAGGCUACUUUUGUUCACCAGGUGCUUCUGACUUGGACGGAGUCUUUCCAGACGUGAAUCAAAUAUCACAAACACUGUUUUGCUCUCCCUCCUUUCUACGGAACACUUGGUCUUUGUUGGUGUGAAUGAAUAGAACUAGCAAUGUAUCCUAAAGAAUUUUGAUGUUCCAUUGAUGCA
RNA transcript from Hirundo rustica (Barn swallow), 1504 nucleotides. RefSeq lists it as uncharacterized. The transcript has 11 exons. Lineage: Eukaryota; Metazoa; Chordata; Aves; Passeriformes; Hirundinidae. The record is from RefSeq and is a predicted model, not a curated record.